AGAGUAAAAUUCAAGCCCUUUUCAAGCACUUUUAAGGUACCUAAACCGAAAUUUCCAGUCUCUCAAGGACUUUAUCAUCUAGAAU
Molecule: long non-coding RNA, 85 nt
Organism: Myripristis murdjan (pinecone soldierfish)
Lineage: Eukaryota; Metazoa; Chordata; Actinopteri; Holocentriformes; Holocentridae
Exons: 3
Source: RefSeq, a predicted model, not a curated record